RNAcentral lists this ribosomal RNA (495 nucleotides) under uncultured bacterium. Its description in RNAcentral is "partial 16S ribosomal RNA". It matches the Rfam family "Bacterial small subunit ribosomal RNA", at positions 28 to 505 of the family's 1533-position model. The record is from RNAcentral.
GAUGAACGCUGGCGGCGUGCCUAAUACAUGCAAGUCGAGCGAACAGACGAGGAGCUUGCUCCUCUGACGUUAGCGGCGGACGGGUGAGUAACACGUGGAUAACCUACCUAUAAGACUGGGAUAACUUCGGGAAACCGGAGCUAAUACCGGAUAAUAUAUUGAACCGCAUGGUUCAAUAGUGAAAGACGGUUUUGCUGUCACUUAUAGAUGGAUCCGCGCCGCAUUAGCUAGUUGGUAAGGUAACGGCUUACCAAGGCGACGAUGCGUAGCCGACCUGAGAGGGUGAUCGGCCACACUGGAACUGAGACACGGUCCAGACUCCUACGGGAGGCAGCAGUAGGGAAUCUUCCGCAAUGGGCGAAAGCCUGACGGAGCAACGCCGCGUGAGUGAUGAAGGUCUUCGGAUCGUAAAACUCUGUUAUUAGGGAAGAACAAAUGUGUAAGUAACUAUGCACGUCGUGACGGUACCUAAUCAGAAAGCCACGGCUAACUACG